RNAcentral lists this unclassified non-coding RNA (155 nucleotides) under soil metagenome. RNAcentral's name for it is "partial internal transcribed spacer 1". The record is from RNAcentral.
CCAGAAGCCGCGUCGGCCGCGAGGCCGGCGCCUUCGCCCAACCCUUUGUGAACGAUAUUGAUUGCCCCGGGGGACCCCGCACCCGUGCGGCCCCCCGGUGGCCCCCCAUAACUCUUGUUGUAUCUGCCGUCCGAGUCGCAAAUGCAAAUGAAACA